AGCGGCGGACGGGUGAGUAACACGUGGGUAACCUGCCUGUAAGACUGGGAUAACUCCGGGAAACCGGGGCUAAUACCGGAUGCUUGAUUGAACCGCAUGGUUCCAAUCAUAAAAGGUGGCUUUUAGCUACCACUUACAGAUGGACCCGCGGCGCAUUAGCUAGUUGGUGAGGUAACGGCUCACCAAGGCGACGAUGCGUAGCCGACCUGAGAGGGUGAUCGGCCACACUGGGACUGAGACACGGCCCAGACUCCUACGGGAGGCAGCAGUAGGGAAUCUUCCGCAAUGGACGAAAGUCUGACGGAGCAACGCCGCGUGAGUGAUGAAGGUUUUCGGAUCGUAAAACUCUGUUGUUAGGGAAGAACAAGUACCGUUCGAAUAGGGCGGCACCUUGACGGUACCUAACCAGAAAGCCACGGCUAACUACGUGCCAGCAGCCGCGGUAAUACGUAGGUGGCAAGCGUUGUCCGGAAUUAUUGGGCGUAAAGCGCGCGCAGGCGGUUUCUUAAGUCUGAUGUGAAAGCCCCCGGCUCAACCGGGGAGGGUCAUUGGAAACUGGGGAACUUGAGUGCAGAAGAGGAGAGUGGAAUUCCACGUGUAGCGGUGAAAUGCGUAGAGAUGUGGAGGAACACCAGUGGCGAAGGCGACUCUCUGGUC
Molecule: ribosomal RNA, 657 nt
Filed under: uncultured Bacilli bacterium
Lineage: Bacteria; Bacillati; Bacillota; Bacilli
Description: bacterial SSU rRNA
Rfam family: Bacterial small subunit ribosomal RNA
Source: RNAcentral